AUGAUUACGGAUAAUCAUAAAAUCCGUAUUUUUUGGUUUGCGCUCGUGCGCAAAGUUCUUUCUCCAGCUGUGCUGUGCAGAAGUUGGUCCGCGUGCUCGUUCGUCUUUUGGCUGCACACACACACACAUACAUACACACGCACUUUCAACACACUCUUACACACUCUUCUUAUACACACUCUCUGUCUGGCUCUGCAACAUAGAGAGGUGAGCGCGCGCGCACGCAUGCAUGCAGCACACACACACAGUCUGGCAUACACGCGCGCUUCCACUCUCUGGCGCGCAACGCAACUCUUGCUUCGUGCAACCUUCGCUCGUGCAGAUUUCUCGCUCGCUAUAACUCCACUCUCUCUCGCGCGCGCAGGUACCGCGCACCUGGGGCCAAGCUGCUGUGGGCUGUGUGCUGAGGGCGCGCGCGAAGCCUCUAUCGCAUCCCUUUCUUCCACUCCACGCGCGAGAAGCCAAGGUAAUCAAGGUCAUGGAGGACCACCACCCCCCACACUCUGAAGCCCACCACCACCCACCCUCCACCCUCCGCCACUGCCGCUGCCUCCUCUCCGGCAUCCAGCAACCACCUCCUGAUCCCCCACUACCAGGGAGAGGGUAAUUUAAGCUCUGUGUGAUGUACCCUAUUCAUCACUGUCCCGCCGGCCCGCUUCAAAAUUAAA
Molecule: long non-coding RNA, 668 nt
Filed under: Astyanax mexicanus (Mexican tetra)
Lineage: Eukaryota; Metazoa; Chordata; Actinopteri; Characiformes; Acestrorhamphidae
Description: lncRNA (ENSAMXG00005024750.1)
Source: RNAcentral